UCUGCAUGAUAUUUUCAUGGAGUGGAUGCAUUUGGUGGAGUGCCACUUCUGGGCUCAGUCCACCAGCAUGACAGGUGGGCUAGGACUGUGAUGCAGAACUGUGAUGACCAGCUGUGGCAGCAGAACUUCAGGAAGCAGAAGUAUUGCUGGAGAUCUUUGCAAAGCUCACUCCGGACUGCAGCAGUAGAACACCAACAUGAGAGUUCCAUUCAAUGUGGAGAAGCAUGUGACCAUCUGGAAGCUCUCCAUCCUUGCUUGCAAAUUCUCCACAGCUUUGAGAGGUUACUAGUUUUGGGAGAAGAGUUGAAAAAGCCCCAAGCAGAUUCUUUACAUAUUUACUCUGCAUCAAAUUCUGAACCAUAGAAAUGUCGUUGCAACACGUAAGUUCCUUUGUGGAUCCGGGCCAGGGUGUAUCACGAAUGAGGUGGGAGAUUCCAGGAAGAGAAAAGAGUCUCAUGGUGAAGACAACAAUGGUGAAGAUACUGCCCUGGAGAACUGGAUUCUAUCACUGCUCCUGCCACAGUUACUAUGUGAUGC
Long non-coding RNA from Mauremys reevesii (Reeves's turtle), 537 nucleotides. RefSeq lists it as uncharacterized. Lineage: Eukaryota; Metazoa; Chordata; Testudines; Geoemydidae. The record is from RefSeq and is a predicted model, not a curated record. The transcript has 3 exons.